CAUAAACAUACUCCCGUCAGGAGUCAGGGCCUUCGGGCUGGUGGACACACGGAGGUGCUGUGCUCUCUCACACUGUGUCCUUCACGUGUCUUCCAGCCAGCUGUCCCCCAGCUGUGUCCUUCAUAAUAAACCAGUAUUCUAGCAAGAGAACUGUUUUUCAGACUUCUUGCAGAAGGGGACACUCCUACCAAACAACAACCACCUUCACCCUCCCUUCUUGCAAGUCAAAGAUGUCAACUUGAAUGGAAAGAGUCUUACAAUCGACUCAAGUUGCCCCUGCAAACAAAUCGAGUUGUAAAUGGAACUUCGCUCCUGCCCACAGUCAAGUGGCCACUCCUCUCCUCGCAGCCUCGGGUCACCCUGAAUACUCUGUUCCUGUGACUUGGCCUACUGCAGCUACUUGAGUUAAGUAGAAUCACACAGUAUUUGUCUUCCACUGCUGGCCUCCUUCACUUAGCUAAGCUUUCAAGAUCCACUCAUGCUGCAGCACAUAUCAAAGCCCACUCCUGCUGGGGAUGGACAGGUGGGCCAGCUGGCUACUUCCAGGCUCUUGUGAGCAGUGCUGUGAUGAGUCUUCAGUUCUGGGCAGUGGACGCCGAGGUGUGGGGCUGCUACAAUAGUGAUUACAAUCACCACCUUGAGGGGCAUUGGACUGCUCACUGUGGCAGAGCUAGACACUCCCAUGGGCCAGGAACACGCGCUGCAGGUCUCCACGUUCUUGGCUUACAGCCCGAAGUGAAGGGACAGUUCAGUACACUCUCAUCAUCCUGGUAACUAACUAAAGGUGCUAUCUUUCCAUGUGCUUAAUGGCUGUGUGUCUUUUUUUCAAAGAAACAUCUGUUUAAGUCCUUUUCCCCUACUUUAAUCACACUGCUCAACAUUUUCUCUGAGUUACAAAUGUUCUGAUAUAUCUGGAUAUUGAGUCCUAUCGGACACAUUUCCCAUCCUGUAAACUGCAGUUUUGCUUUCUGAAAAAUGUCCUUUGCUACAAAAAAGUUUAAUUUUUAUUAACUUUUAAUUUUUAUUAUUUUUCU
Cavia porcellus (domestic guinea pig) is the source of this 1034-nucleotide long non-coding RNA. RefSeq lists it as uncharacterized. The transcript is spliced from 3 exons. NCBI's taxonomy places the organism in Eukaryota, Metazoa, Chordata, Mammalia, Rodentia, Caviidae. The record is from RefSeq and is a predicted model, not a curated record.